Molecule: unclassified non-coding RNA, 311 nt
Filed under: Hevea brasiliensis (rubber tree)
Lineage: Eukaryota; Viridiplantae; Streptophyta; Magnoliopsida; Malpighiales; Euphorbiaceae
Source: RNAcentral
GAAAUAUUUGUAUACGGGCAAGUAGUAGAAGAUGGGGUAUAUGAUCAAAGGGCCGAGAUACUCGAAGAAGAAAAGUGUGCUGUAAUAAACUUGCACGCCCAAAUCCUUGAACACCACAGUCAGAGUGUCAGAGUCUUUAUCAGCAUAUUCGGAGAGGUUUUUCUUUGGGUCGAGAACAACUGGUCUCCCCUUGGUUCCAGGUUGCAAGGGGAGGGUGAGACGUUGGCGAGACAGAUAAUACUUCUUGUUUCGAGAGUAAAUCGCCUCCUGCAGAUCCCGCACGCUGGCCGUGUCAUCGAGCUCAAUCCCGC